RNAcentral lists this ribosomal RNA (465 nucleotides) under uncultured bacterium. Its description in RNAcentral is "partial 16S ribosomal RNA". It matches the Rfam family "Bacterial small subunit ribosomal RNA", at positions 28 to 507 of the family's 1533-position model. The record is from RNAcentral.
GACGAACGCUGGCGGCGUGCUUAACACAUGCAAGUCGAACGGAAAGGCCCUGCUUGCAGGGUACUCGAGUGGCGAACGGGUGAGUAACACGUGGGUGAUCUGCCCUGCACUUCGGGAUAAGCCUGGGAAACUGGGUCUAAUACCGGAUAGGAGCCAUUUUUAGUGUGAUGGUUGGAAAGUUUUUUCGGUGUAGGAUGAGCUCGCGGCCUAUCAGCUUGUUGGUGGGGUAAUGGCCUACCAAGGCGGCGACGGGUAGCCGGCCUGAGAGGGUGGACGGGCACAUUGGGACUGAGAUACGGCCCAGACUCCUACGGGAGGCAGCAGUGGGGAAUAUUGCACAAUGGGCGCAAGCCUGAUGCAGCGACGCCGCGUGGGGGAUGACGGCCUUCGGGUUGUAAACUCCUUUCGCUAGGGACGAAGCUUUUUGUGACGGUACCUAGAGAAGAAGCACCGGCUAACUACGUG